Xyrichtys novacula (pearly razorfish) is the source of this 782-nucleotide non-coding RNA. The record is from the annotation of a GenBank genome assembly. Lineage: Eukaryota; Metazoa; Chordata; Actinopteri; Labriformes; Labridae.
CCGAAGAGUGGGCAGCGAGAACAUUAUACCAGACCGAGCUGCUCCGCAAGAUCAGAGACCGGGUGAGCUCUUUUUAAACACGAUUCCGUGAGUCCUCCAAGUUUUCAUUCGUACUAGUACCACUCAAACUGACUUUAGAGUAUGUUUUAAAAAAGAUUCACCUUAUGACUGGUUUCCUUUGGAGGCUAAAGAAGAGAGUAAGGUUUGUGAGCUAGUUCAGGCAAGCAAGUCAAGUUUGAAACCUGACAUUUACAAAAACACAGAUGUGUUUAGGGUGGGAGUCUUUAUAAGUGAAGGCAAUUUUAUACUAGUGUGUUGAUGAAGGUCAGAGCUGGAGCAGUUUAUAAUUUCAUGAUGAGAGUUUUAAAGAGAUCAAAUUGUCUGUACUGUGCUGACAUCCUUUGUCACACAUGAAGAUCAACAUCUGAAGGUAACACUGUAUUGUAGAAAAAAGUCACUGUUAAAGGCACCAGCAGUUCCAUUCUUUGGAUUUACCCCACACCCUUAUAUAUACAAAUAUUAUUUUUUCCAACAAGUAAAAGUGCUUAAACAAUCAAAGUGGAUCCACUGAGAGUUUGUGUUUUUGGCUCUGAUUGUUGAUUUUUUGCUGUCAUCCUCUCACUGUGUCUCCGUUUUAGGUUCUCCGUCGCCCACUGCUCUCCGCCCGCCUCCAGCUGUGAAACCCCUCCCUCUACUCCCCCAUACGGUGGGAGUCUGGUAAACAUGACCAGGACUUCCUCAUUGGAGCCGCACGCCACAGCUUUAGCUGGACAGACUGCUAC